GCUCGGAUGGUGUAGUUGGUUAUCACGUCAGUCGUAGGUUACCCCGGCUCCAAGCCCACAGCUCCACAUUGAAAAUUUCAAUAUUAACAUCAAAGCAGUAACACUAGUUUCACUGAAGGUCCUGAGUUCAAACCUCAGUCCGAGUA
Molecule: non-coding RNA, 146 nt
Organism: Mytilinidion resinicola
Lineage: Eukaryota; Fungi; Ascomycota; Dothideomycetes; Mytilinidiales; Mytilinidiaceae
Source: the annotation of a RefSeq genome assembly